AUGGAUGGGUUCCUUUACUACCACACAUCUUUCCUUCUUGAAGAUGACAGAAACCUACAGCUGUCAAUCACUAAUAAGCGUAGUUUUCUUGCAUUACAAUCCACUCUACAGUGUGUUUUCCUUGUAAAAAUCCCAAGGGUUGAUCGUAUUUGUUGGCACAUACGGUGUCUCCAGUAAAAUCCACAGCAGACAAGCAUAGAGCUUAAUAUUGGCAAAUGUAUAUAACCACCACCAAAAUCAAAAUAAACAAUAUUUCCAGCAGCCCACAAAUUUCCCUUUCCAGUCAAUUCCAGUUGCAAUGCCACCUCAAAUCCCCCAAGACAAUUACUAUUCUGA
This 336-nucleotide long non-coding RNA is filed under the name Mustela putorius furo (domestic ferret). RNAcentral describes it as "lncRNA (ENSMPUG00000027591.1)". Lineage: Eukaryota; Metazoa; Chordata; Mammalia; Carnivora; Mustelidae. The record is from RNAcentral.